This 253-nucleotide ribosomal RNA is filed under the name uncultured bacterium. Its description in RNAcentral is "partial 16S ribosomal RNA". It matches the Rfam family "Bacterial small subunit ribosomal RNA", at positions 524 to 776 of the family's 1533-position model. The record is from RNAcentral.
UACGAGGGGGGCAAGCGUUGUUCGGAAUUAUUGGGCGUAAAGGGUGCGUAGGCUGUGCGGUAAGUCACCUGUGAAAUCUCUGGGCUCAACCCAGAGCCUGCAGGCGAAACUGCCGUGCUCGAGUGCGGGAGAGGCCAGUGGAAUUGCAGGUGUAGCGGUGAAAUGCGUAGAUAUCUGCAGGAACACCCGUGGCGAAGGCGGCUGGCUGGACCGCAACUGACACUGAGGAACGAAAGCUAGGGGAGCAAACAGG